GUCAGUGCGUACAUUUAACCGCAGAAAGACAAUGUGUGGCACAUUUGAUUACCUUCCUCCUGAGAUGGUUGAAAGCGUAAAAUAUACAAUGAACAAUCACAUUUAAUCUUCUCUAUUUGAAAAAUCCAUUGUACCCAUCAGAAGAAACCUUCCAAUCCCCGCCGGUGUAUUUGUCGAUUCCACCAAAAACAUUCGUUAUGUAUGCUUUCGCCUAUUUAUAUAUAUAUACUGUUGAAACCAUGAGCGUUGUACAGUUUAAAUUCAAAAAGUAUAUACACAAGUUGAUGUUCGAUAUAACCAGUGGCAUAAUUGGAAAGCAUCUAAUUAUAUAAAGUACACUUUGCUUCUCUCUCAGGCUGUCUACCUCAGCAGACAGGUCAAUAAUUCAGGCGACGUCACGACGACACGUGUCCUUUAAAUGAUGCUGUGCGUUUUGUUGUCGGUCUUUUUCAGAAUUUUUGGGCUUUUUGCUUAAUCCAUUAUCCGGCCCGAUAGACAGCAAGACCAACACACAAAUUUUAGGGUUAGUGAUCUUCUUCCACAAAGAAGCGUCUUCUCCUUCGUUCUCUGAUAUAUCUAUGGAGUUCGAGAUGUUGAAUCGUUUUGUGGAUCUUUAACGUUUUGUCUUAUCUUCUAAUCUACGGAAACAAUAUUCAUCGCCUUAUCAUACUCCUUAAAUCCAUCACCCCCUUCGAGCACGAUCUGUUCUUCAAUGCACCUUAUUCCUCUCCAUCGGUAAGACAAGUUCGUUUCUAGCCGGAAAGUCGGAACCAGGUACAUAUUACUGAGGUUACAACACUGUGGUAAGCGAUUAUAAUACUCAUCUGUUUCCAGUUCCUUUUGGAUCUGUGAGCUUGAUUAUAAGAUUGGUUAUACAGCAAUUGAAUUAUUAGUAUUAGAGAAGUUUCUGGUAGCAAUUUGUUUUCAUAUGUUUAGCUAUUGAUCAAUCUUAUUCCAGUUUGUUUUUUAUUGUUUUCAAACCCUCUACAGUGUUAGAUUAAAGUCUACAACUUCUGGAAAUUUCUUUGUCUUAGGUUUGUGCUCUUCUUUAUGGAAGAGGAUACGCAUAAAAAGCGAGCAUAACACGCUUUGUUGGCUUUUGUUGCAGAAAAGGGUUUAUUUGAUACUUGAGUAUGCUGCUAGAGACGAGCUUUACAAGGAGCUUCAGAAAUGCAAAUACUUCAGCGAGAGACGAGCUGCUACUUAUGUUGCAUCAUUGGCAAGGGCUCUCAUCUAUUGCCAUUGAAGCAUGUGAUACACAGAGAUAUCAAACCAGAAAAUCUGUUAAUCGGUGCUCAGCUUAAUAACAAUGUUCGUGGACUUUUAAAUAUCAGGGUGAGCUCAAGAUUGCAGACUUUUGUUGGUCAGUGCGUACAUUUAACCGCAUAAAGACAAUGUGUGGCACAUUUGAUUACCUUCCUCCUGAGAUGGGUAAAGUUAAAGACUUUGCUUGAAAGUUAAUUUUGCUAUGACAUGAAUUAAUUUUAACAAUGACCAAUUGAUUAUUUUUUUAAUAGUUGAAAGCGUAAAAUAUACAAUGAACAAUCACAUUUAAUCUUCUCUAUUUGAAAAAUCCAUUGUACCCAUCAGAAGAAACCUUCCAAUCCCCACCGGUGUCUUCUUAAAAAAUAUAGGGACUUUCUAUAAAGUGGAACUACAUCGACUGCCCAAAGUGGAGCUUGGUUUCCCUGGAGUGGAACAAGACUUUUGAAUUCACGUAAGUUUGCUUCUUCUGCUUUAGUUUCAUUCUAGAUCAGUAUUUUCGUCAAUGAUGAUCCUUUUUUAUUAUAAGCUUUCACUUACUUUAAGCUUAUUCAAUCUUUUUUUUUUUCGCUACAAAUCUCUCUGCAGCUUAUCAUCCUAGAUAUUCAGUUAUAGUUCUUGGCCUAACUACAGGUGAGUGAGAAUAAGUGUCUCGGGAACAUCUUAUUUUGAAUUAGGACUCCACUGAAGAAGUCAUUCAACAUCUUAGUGGAAACGAAAACGUUUUCAGCUUUUUAUUUACCUGACAAAGAUCCCGCGCGUACAUGCUUCUAUCUAGAGGGUAAUGAAUCGGGACCAGCAUGAGAUCUGACUCCAGGUUAUGAUGAUGCGGACAGUGAGCAUCUGAAAUCUACACAGUACUCGGCAGAAGCUUAGCUUCCAGAAGCAGUUGAUGAUCCCGCCAUGAUGGCUUACUGGGAUACGUUAUGGCUUACUAGGAUGCUAGAAAAUAUUUGGAGCAAGACGAAAGAAGCAACAUGUUACAGUACUUAUCUUUCUACAGGAGUGGAACUAGAACUGUAGAAGUAACAUCAUGGCUGUAUCUGUAGGCGAAGCCCGUUGCAGAGAGUAAGACGAGAUGCUGGAGAAUCCUUCCACACACACAAGAUAAGGCCAGGGAGAUAAAUUAAUGGUAGAUAAAAUAGAGAUGGUGACUACGACUUUGUUUAUAUUGAAAAUUGCUUUCUGUACCAUUAAACAACUCUAAAUUUAUAUUGUUUUAAAUUA
Molecule: long non-coding RNA, 2490 nt
Organism: Brassica napus (rape)
Lineage: Eukaryota; Viridiplantae; Streptophyta; Magnoliopsida; Brassicales; Brassicaceae
Exons: 3
Source: RefSeq, a predicted model, not a curated record